AUCAAAAACAUGUCUUUUAGUUGAGAAUUAAAGGUCCAAUCUGCUCAGUGAUUAUUAAAUAGCUGCAGAAUUUUAACUGUACUAAGGUAGCCUAAUAAAUUGUUUAUUAAUUGUAAACUGGAAUGAAUGAUUAGAUAAGACAUGAGCUGUAUCGGGGGAUUUUUAUUUAAUUUAACUUUUGGGUUAAAAGGCCCAAAUAGUUUUAGGGGACGAGAAGACCCUAUAGAUUUUUAUAUUUUUAUUAAAUUUAAAUUUAUAGAUUGGGAUUUAAUGAAAAUAAUUUGAUGGGGACUCAGAGAAAUUAAAUAAUUUUCUUUAGUUUUUUACAAUAAUUGUUGAUUGGGGGAUUAAUAGAUAAUUAAUAAAGAUAAAAAUACCUUAGGGAUAACAGCAUAAUAACUUUUUUAAGAUCAUAUUUUUAAAGUUGAUUGUGACCUCGAUGUUGS
This 446-nucleotide ribosomal RNA is filed under the name Parevania sp. DERV041. RNAcentral describes it as "partial 16S ribosomal RNA". The record is from RNAcentral. Lineage: Eukaryota; Metazoa; Arthropoda; Insecta; Hymenoptera; Evaniidae.